Long non-coding RNA from Musca domestica (house fly), 1240 nucleotides. RefSeq lists it as uncharacterized. NCBI's taxonomy places the organism in Eukaryota, Metazoa, Arthropoda, Insecta, Diptera, Muscidae. The transcript is spliced from 2 exons. The record is from RefSeq and is a predicted model, not a curated record.
AGAAUUCACAAUAGAAUAAAAAUGGCUAUUGACAGUUGAAAAGAAAAAGGAAUGAAAAUUGAAAAUGGCUCAGGAAAAUGGUGUUUCGUGGAAAAUGAGCGUCUGGCGGGAUUCACUGAGAAGAGGGGUAUAAAAGGCUGCGAGCAUAAGAAAAGCCAAAGUUAAGAAUAAGACGUUACCGGUGAAACUUAGCUAGAGAGCAGUGAAGAAGUGGAAAAAUUUAAUUUGUGUGUUGCGAUUUUUUUAUUGUGAAUAUUCCGGUGGUGUAUCAAGCUUUUUUGGAAGCACCGAAAAUUGUCCGGUUUUGGUCAGCACAACGGCGGGAAAUUGCCUUUUCUUUUUGGUAACGCAAGGUAGUGGCAAGUUGUCCACAGGAGAAAAAAGCCAAAAAAAGUUACAUUGAGGGUGUGGAGAUUUGAAUUGUAAACUGGCCAGCUGCAACUUUGAGCUUUUUGCUGUGCCUGUUAUUGAUCCCGCCCAGAACGCCGGCAUUGUAAAAGGACCAGUCAACAAGUCCAGCUUCAUUUCAGGGUUUGCCUGGCGUUCAAAAUCUGUUUCCUCCGGAAAGAAGCGUAAACUGGAAGAAGAGAUAAGAAGAAUUAAUCAAUAACGUUAUAAAUCACUGCUCAGGUAAAAGGUGUCUUACCGUUGUGUUGUCCUUGAUAGAUAUAUUUAUAUAUAUAUGUGACGUCCAUAAAAUUUGCUGUCUCCUUUUUUGGAACUAAAAGAAAAGAAAAAAAGAGUUAAUAAUCAUAAAUUUCGAGAAAAAAAAUAUAAUAUUCAGUAUAAAGAUUUAGUAAUAAGAUAGGUUAUAGUUCUUAGGAUUUAAGUAAUAAUCAGUUUGUAAGGGAAAAAUACCGCGUUUAUUUUCAAAGGCUAGGAGGUGUUACAGUAAAAUUAUCUUGAGUCCUUGUGAUUCGAUCUGAUAGUUUAGGCCGUGGAAUUUUAGCGGCAAUUAGGCCGGUUAAGAGAGCUCUUUUAGGUGGCUAGUAAUUUCGUAUAGACGCGUGAAUAUUGCGCGGGAAAAGCAAGGCAAAGGAUAAUAUAUUGGUUUCUACCGAGUAAUUAAAGCCAUAGAUUUAAGAAAGCCCGGUAUUAUUCUUAAUUUGUUUUUUUUUAUACCAUACAGUUUGUCAAUUUUAGUGUAAGAAAAAAAAUAGUAGAGAAAAAAAUUAAGAAAAUAUUUAAAGCUAACUUAUUUUUUUUAAUAAAAUUAAAAAUGAUUCUUUUGUAAACAGUA